This 397-nucleotide ribosomal RNA is filed under the name uncultured bacterium. RNAcentral's name for it is "bacterial SSU rRNA". It matches the Rfam family "Bacterial small subunit ribosomal RNA", at positions 28 to 416 of the family's 1533-position model. The record is from RNAcentral.
GACGAACGCUGGCGGCGUGCUUAACACAUGCAAGUCGAACGGGAUCCAUGGAGUAGCAAUACUCUGGAAGAUCUAGUGGCGAACGGGUGAGUAACACGUGAGCAACCUGCCCCAAAGACUGGGAUAACCCCGGGAAACCGGAGCUAAUACCGGAUGUCCUCAUUAGAUCGCAUGGUCAUAUGAGGAAAUGAAUUUUCGCUUUGGGAGGGGCUCGCGGGCUACCAGUUUGUUGGNGGGGUAAUGGCCUACCAAGACAUCGACGGCUAGCUGGUCUGAGAGGACGAUCAGCCACACUGGGACUGAGACACGGCCCAGACUCCUACGGGAGGCAGCAGUGGGGAAUCUUGCCCAAUGGGCGAAAGCCUGAGGCAGCAACGCCGCGUGCGGGAUGACGGCC